Molecule: ribosomal RNA, 253 nt
Filed under: uncultured bacterium
Lineage: Bacteria
Description: partial 16S ribosomal RNA
Rfam family: Bacterial small subunit ribosomal RNA
Source: RNAcentral
UACGUAGGUGGCAAGCGUUGUCCGGAUUUACUGGGCGUAAAGAGCGCGCAGGCGGUCGUUUAAGGCGAAUGUGAAAGCCCCCGGCUCAACUGGGGAGGGUCAUUCGAUACUGAUCGACUUGAAGGCAGGAGAGAGAAGUGGAAUUCCCGGUGUAGUGGUGAAAUGCGUAGAUAUCGGGAAGAACAUCGGUGGCGAAGGCGCUCUACCGGACCACAACUGACACUCAGGGACGAAAGCUAGGGGAGCGAAUGGG